GUGAACGCUGGCGGUAGGCCUAACACAUGCCAGUCGAACGGCAGCACAGUAAGAGCUUGCUCUUACGGGUGGCGAGUGGCGGACGGGUGAGGAAUACAUCGGAAUCUACUUUUUCGUGGGGGAUAACGUAGGGAAACUUACGCUAAUACCGCAUACGACCUACGGGUGAAAGCAGGUGAUCUUCGGACCUUGCGCGAUUGAAUGAGCCGAUGUCGGAUUAGCUAGUUGGCGGGGUAAAGGCCCACCAAGGCGACGAUCCGUAGCUGGUCUGAGAGGAUGAUCAGCCACACUGGAACUGAGACACGGUCCAGACUCCUACGGGAGGCAGCAGUGGGGAAUAUUGGACAAUGGGCGCAAGCCUGAUCCAGCCAUACCGCGUGGGUGAAGAAGGCCUUCGGGUUGUAAAGCCCUUUUGUUGGGAAAGAAAAGCAGCAGGUUAAUACCCCGCUGUUCUGACGGUACCCAAAGAAUAAGCACCGGCUAACUUCGUG
RNAcentral lists this ribosomal RNA (491 nucleotides) under uncultured bacterium. RNAcentral's name for it is "partial 16S ribosomal RNA". It matches the Rfam family "Bacterial small subunit ribosomal RNA", at positions 29 to 507 of the family's 1533-position model. The record is from RNAcentral.